AGUGAACGCUGGCGGUAGGCCUAACACAUGCAAGUCGAACGGCAGCACAGUAAGAGCUUGCUCUUACGGGUGGCGAGUGGCGGACGGGUGAGGAAUACAUCGGAAUCUACUUUUUCGUGGGGGAUAACGUAGGGAAACUUACGCUAAUACCGCAUACGACCUACGGGUGAAAGCAGGGGAUCUUCGGACCUUGCGCGAUUGAAUGAGCCGAUGUCGGAUUAGCUAGUUGGCGGGGUAAAGGCCCACCAAGGCGACGAUCCGUAGCUGGUCUGAGAGGAUGAUCCGCCACACGGGAACUGAGACACGGCACAGACUCCUACGGGAGGCAGCAGUGGGGAAUAUUAGACAAUGGGGGAAAGCCUGAUCCAGCCAUACCGCGUGAGUGAAGAAGGCCUUCGGGUUGUAAAGCCCUUUUGUUGGGAAAGAAAAGCAGCAGGUUAAUACCCCGCUGUUCUGACGGUACCCAAAGAAUAAGCACCGGCUAACUUCGUG
This 492-nucleotide ribosomal RNA is filed under the name uncultured bacterium. Its description in RNAcentral is "partial 16S ribosomal RNA". It matches the Rfam family "Bacterial small subunit ribosomal RNA", at positions 29 to 507 of the family's 1533-position model. The record is from RNAcentral.